This 1464-nucleotide ribosomal RNA is filed under the name Leuconostoc mesenteroides subsp. mesenteroides. Its description in RNAcentral is "bacterial SSU rRNA". It matches the Rfam family "Bacterial small subunit ribosomal RNA". The record is from RNAcentral. Lineage: Bacteria; Bacillati; Bacillota; Bacilli; Lactobacillales; Lactobacillaceae.
GAACGCUGGCGGCGUGCCUAAUACAUGCAAGUCGAACGCACAGCGAAAGGUGCUUGCACCUUUCAAGUGAGUGGCGAACGGGUGAGUAACACGUGGACAACCUGCCUCAAGGCUGGGGAUAACAUUUGGAAACAGAUGCUAAUACCGAAUGAAACUUAGUGUCGCAUGACACUAAGUUAAAAGGCGCUUUGGCGUCACCUAGAGAUGGAUCCGCGGUGCAUUAGUUAGUUGGUGGGGUAAAGGCCUACCAAGACAAUGAUGCAUAGCCGAGUUGAGAGACUGAUCGGCCACAUUGGGACUGAGACACGGCCCAAACUCCUACGGGAGGCUGCAGUAGGGAAUCUUCCACAAUGGGCGAAAGCCUGAUGGAGCAACGCCGCGUGUGUGAUGAAGGCUUUCGGGUCGUAAAGCACUGUUGUAUGGGAAGAACAGCUAGAAUAGGGAAUGAUUUUAGUUUGACGGUACCAUACCAGAAAGGGACGGCUAAAUACGUGCCAGCAGCCGCGGUAAUACGUAUGUCCCGAGCGUUAUCCGGAUUUAUUGGGCGUAAAGCGAGCGCAGACGGUUUAUUAAGUCUGAUGUGAAAGCCCGGAGCUCAACUCCGGAAUGGCAUUGGAAACUGGUUAACUUGAGUGCAGUAGAGGUAAGUGGAACUCCAUGUGUAGCGGUGGAAUGCGUAGAUAUAUGGAAGAACACCAGUGGCGAAGGCGGCUUACUGGACUGCAACUGACGUUGAGGCUCGAAAGUGUGGGUAGCAAACAGGAUUAGAUACCCUGGUAGUCCACACCGUAAACGAUGAACACUAGGUGUUAGGAGGUUUCCGCCUCUUAGUGCCGAAGCUAACGCAUUAAGUGUUCCGCCUGGGGAGUACGACCGCAAGGUUGAAACUCAAAGGAAUUGACGGGGACCCGCACAAGCGGUGGAGCAUGUGGUUUAAUUCGAAGCAACGCGAAGAACCUUACCAGGUCUUGACAUCCUUUGAAGCUUUUAGAGAUAGAAGUGUUCUCUUCGGAGACAAAGUGACAGGUGGUGCAUGGUCGUCGUCAGCUCGUGUCGUGAGAUGUUGGGUUAAGUCCCGCAACGAGCGCAACCCUUAUUGUUAGUUGCCAGCAUUCAGAUGGGCACUCUAGCGAGACUGCCGGUGACAAACCGGAGGAAGGCGGGGACGACGUCAGAUCAUCAUGCCCCUUAUGACCUGGGCUACACACGUGCUACAAUGGCGUAUACAACGAGUUGCCAACCCGCGAGGGUGAGCUAAUCUCUUAAAGUACGUCUCAGUUCGGAUUGUAGUCUGCAACUCGACUACAUGAAGUCGGAAUCGCUAGUAAUCGCGGAUCAGCACGCCGCGGUGAAUACGUUCCCGGGUCUUGUACACACCGCCCGUCACACCAUGGGAGUUUGUAAUGCCCAAAGCCGGUGGCCUAACCUUUUAGGAAGGAGCCGUCUAAGGCAGGACAGAUGACU